This 397-nucleotide ribosomal RNA is filed under the name uncultured bacterium. RNAcentral's name for it is "partial 16S ribosomal RNA". It matches the Rfam family "Bacterial small subunit ribosomal RNA", at positions 523 to 918 of the family's 1533-position model. The record is from RNAcentral.
AUACGUAGGUGACAAGCGUUAUCCGGAUUUACUGGGCGUAAAGGGCGUGUAGGCGGUCUUGCAAGUCAGAAGUGAAAUUCCUGAGCUCAACUCGGGCGCUGCUUCUGAAACUGCAGGACUUGAGUGCUGGAGGGGAUAGCGGAAUUCCUAGUGGAGCGGUAAAAUGCGCAGAUAUUAGGAAGAACACCGGUGGCGAAGGCGACUUACUGGGCCGUAACUGACGCUGAGGCGCGAAAGCGUGGGGAGCGAACAGGAUUAGAUACCCUGGUAGUCCACGCGGUAAACGAUGAAUGCUAGGUGUUGCGGGUAUCGACCCCUGCAGUGCCGGAGUAAACACAAUAAGCAUUCCGCCUGGGGAGUACGGCCGCAAGGUUGAAACUCAAAUGAAUUGACGGGG